UAUAAAAGGAAAUAAAGAAAAAAAAAAGAAUAGAAAUAGAAACAGAAUAGGCAAAACGAAAAGCAGGGAAAGAAAGAAAGAAAGGAGAAAAGAAAGAAGAAAGGGAAAAUUAAGGUUUGAAGCUUGAGGUUUAAAUAGGACUGGGAGAGUGGAGAGGAUAAGGAGGAUGAGGCUGUGAGUGAACUUCCCUGGAACUGAUCAUCUGCUGGAACCUUACCUGCAAUGCUACUGUGUCUUUUCUUUGCGUGGAGCAGCAACACUGCAGCAGUUGUAGUUUUAGCAAAAGAUUUGAGUUGCCUAACGGAUACCUAGCCACCUUCAAGAGCAUAAUAAGGGAAGGCCGAUGUGAUUUAUUUCGGGGGUUUUCAAGGUAUUCAUUCGAAUAUACUAUUAAAUAAUUUUUACAAGCACAUUAUAAAAUUAGACGUUUUAAAAUUAUUUCAUAUCUAAAGUAAAGAUCGAACUCUUGACUACUAAUAACAAUAAGGUUGUUUUUUAAUAUAAAUAUAUAUUGUUUAUAUGAAAUAAGAGUUUAAAUUUAAAUUCAACUAA
Gossypium arboreum is the source of this 552-nucleotide long non-coding RNA. RefSeq lists it as uncharacterized. The record is from RefSeq and is a predicted model, not a curated record. Lineage: Eukaryota; Viridiplantae; Streptophyta; Magnoliopsida; Malvales; Malvaceae. The transcript has 3 exons.